This 740-nucleotide ribosomal RNA is filed under the name uncultured bacterium. Its description in RNAcentral is "bacterial SSU rRNA". It matches the Rfam family "Bacterial small subunit ribosomal RNA", at positions 8 to 794 of the family's 1533-position model. The record is from RNAcentral.
AGAGUUUGAUCAUGGCUCAGAGCGAACGCUGGCGGCAGGCCUAACACAUGCAAGUCGAACGGUUCCUUCGGGGACAGUGGCAGACGGGUGAGUAACGCGUGGGAACGUGCCCUUUGGUUCGGAAUAACUCAGGGAAACUUGAGCUAAUACCGGAUACGUCCGAGAGGAGAAAGAUUUAUCGCCGAAGGAUCGGCCCGCGUCUGAUUAGCUAGUUGGUGGGGUAACGGCCUACCAAGGCGACGAUCAGUAGCUGGUCUGAGAGGAUGAUCAGCCACACUGGGACUGAGACACGGCCCAGACUCCUACGGGAGGCAGCAGUGGGGAAUAUUGGACAAUGGGCGCAAGCCUGAUCCAGCCAUGCCGCGUGAGUGAUGAAGGCCCUAGGGUUGUAAAGCUCUUUUAUCCGGGACGAUAAUGACGGUACCGGAAGAAUAAGCCCCGGCUAACUUCGUGCCAGCAGCCGCGGUAAUACGAAGGGGGCUAGCGUUGCUCGGAAUCACUGGGCGUAAAGGGCGCGUAGGCGGACGUUUAAGUCAGGGGUGAAAUCCCGGGGCUCAACCUCGGAAUUGCCUUUGAUACUGGAUGUCUCGAGACCGGAAGAGGUAAGUGGAACUGCGAGUGUAGAGGUGAAAUUCGUAGAUAUUCGCAAGAACACCAGUGGCGAAGGCGGCUUACUGGUCCGGAUCUGACGCUGAGGCGCGAAAGCGUGGGGAGCAAACAGGAUUAGAUACCCUGGUAGU